AAGACAUUACCUUUAGAGCAAAACAACUCAGAAUUCACGACGACGAGGCCAUGGAACUUAUAAAAACAUAUCAUUUUUAAAAAGCGACUUAUGCCAUUUCCAAGCGCUUAAUGCACAGACCGGCACAAAGGGUGGGUAUAAAACCACAAGAGUAAGUAUGAACUUGUUACUAUGUUUUGUCAAUGAACAGAACUACUUACAUUGAAUAUAAGCAAAGUUACGCAAAGUAACUGAUGGACUCACGAUCAAAUUGCAAUGAUGGACGUAGCCGCAAGGCGGCAUGGUUAUCAAAUUAUAUACUUUCCAGAGGUGUUGAUAACGCUUGAACCAUGUGCCAUGAUGUAAAACCACAGAUUGGGUCUUGGCAAGGAGACAGCAAUGCCAUUGAUAACCAACAUAACAACCGUUGGCCUACUUUACAUCCCUUUGUAUGUAUUAGGCCUGCUUACACAGAUAAUGAAUGACAUGUGAACUUAUCACGUUUGAUCCCGUGCAAUUUCUACCUAUUGACAAAAUACGUUAAUGAGAAAGUAUAAAGCUAUGAUAUAGGCCUAAAGAAAUCCGUAUUGUUCACUGGUACGCUAACGAAGUAAUCGUUUGACUGAUGUCAAUUCCAUAUUUGGAUAAACCUACAUGUGAUUACUGUUAUGAAUAGCCAAAUAUACUUCACAUUUAAAAAAAAAAAUGAUGAGCUGUUGAUAAGUGUGAACCGUUAAUCCUUUUUCUGAACUACUUUGCAAACAUGUAUUAACCUGCAGAUCCAGAUAUCAUCCAUUCUCAUAGGCUACAACAUUAAGGUGAAUGUAGAUACGGGUAAGAAUGUUUUGGUGCUAAUAUUAGGCUGACAUUCUAUCCAAUACCACAGCAUUGUUGAAUACUCAUGUCUGAUUGCCUAAAAGGGCAUUCCAGAAUGGACAUUAUAACCAGACAACGGGACAGUUGUGGAAAAGAUAUCUGGACAGUUGCAAAAUAUAUCGGGACACCUUGCAAUCAUGACGCAAUAUGUGCCGACACGUGCCAAACGUUCUUGCUCCAAAGUGACAACAACACAAACCGAAAUUGGAUACAUUGUAAACCCAGGUCCAACAAGGAAACAUGUAGGUAGUUAAUUAGCAUUGAUUUGUUUUUUUUUGCAGAAAAAACUAUGUUUUGGUACAUCUGAUGAACUAAUGUGGUGAGUGAUGAACAUGAAUUUCUCCGGCCCCCUGCCACAGAUAUCUGAAGUGUUGAGGGUAGUGUGUAAUUGGCAUGCUGACUGCAGGAAUGUCCACCAGAGAUGUUGCCAGAGAAUUGAAUGUUCAUUUCUCUACCAUAAUCCAAUAAUCACCUCUAAUGUUGUUAUAGAGAAUUUGGCAGUACGUCCAACCGGGUCUCACAACCUCAGACCACGUGUAACCAUUUCCAGCCCAGGACCUCCACAUCCACCUGCGGGAUCAUCUGAGACCCGCCACCCUGACAGCUGAUGAAACUGUAGGUUUGCACAACAACUGAAGAAUUUCUGCACAAACGGUCAGAAACCGUCUCAGGGAAGCUCAUCUGCGUACUCGUCAUUCUCACCAGGGUCUUAACCAGACUGCAGUUCGGCGUUGUAACCGGCUUCAGUGGGUAAAUACUCACCUUUGAUGGCAUGCUGGAGAUGUGUGCUCUUCACGGAAUAAAUCCCAGGUUCAACUGGCAGACAGCGUUUUAUGGUGUUGUAUGGGUGAGCAGUUUGCUGAUGUCAAUGUUGUGAACAGAGUACCCCAUGGUGCCGGUGGGGUUAUGGAAUGGGCAAGCAUAAGCUAUUGACAAUGAACACAAUUGUAUUUUAUUGGUGGCAAUUUGAAUGCACAGAGCUACUGUGACGAGAUCCUGUACUCUACAAAUGAAGGAUUCAACAAGGGUUCUUCUAAGAUCCUCAAAGUUCUUUGAAUAACCUAUUUUCAGUACUUGGCACAGAAAAUAGCCCCCAAAAAAUGUAUUCCAAGACCACCAUGGGAGGUGGGGCUCAUCGAGGAAUCUCUUUAGUUGGUGGGGUUUCUUGCAAGAACCUAUAACUGCCCAACUGAAACAUUUGGAUUUGAAUUUGAAAGGACAGCAGGUGCAGGCACUUAACCGAAAAAAAUGUAAAGAUCCCCUCAAUUAAAGGUAAGUUUUGGUCCCUUGUGUGAAAUCAAUCGAUAUUGUUUUAUGAUGAUACCGUCUAUCGGUUCAUAUUUGUGCAAAUCUUUCUAAAAAAAAAAAACAGAAAAUGGACACAAUUCAUUGGAUAUCAAUCAGCAAAGAGGUAUACCGACGAGGAGGCAUACAAAAGGUAUAUCAAUUGCUCUUGGUGUGUUAUGCAGAGCCCACUUACCACCCGCCUCCCUUACCUCUUCAAUGAAUACCCCAAUACCCCUACAUUAUGGACAAGGUUAAUAAAGUUAACAUGGACACGUACCACGCUGCAUUUUGGUCCGAUCCUUCAUAUUCCUCAUCAGACGAGGACGAGAAUCGUCACAGAUACGGAGAACACUAACACCAACACGCCAGAGGAUAUACCCAUUAUACUUGGGGCUCUGCUGGGAGUUUCUCAUAUUUGGAUGUUUUAAUUCUGCUUUGCCACUAAAAUAAUAAUAAACACUGACAA
This is a long non-coding RNA of Oncorhynchus keta (chum salmon), 2608 nucleotides long. RefSeq lists it as uncharacterized. The record is from RefSeq and is a predicted model, not a curated record. NCBI's taxonomy places the organism in Eukaryota, Metazoa, Chordata, Actinopteri, Salmoniformes, Salmonidae. The transcript is spliced from 3 exons.